This 253-nucleotide ribosomal RNA is filed under the name uncultured prokaryote. RNAcentral describes it as "partial 16S ribosomal RNA". It matches the Rfam family "Bacterial small subunit ribosomal RNA", at positions 525 to 777 of the family's 1533-position model. The record is from RNAcentral.
ACGGAGGGUGCGAGCGUUGUCCGGGAUCACUGGGCGUAAAGGGCGCGUAGGCGGCUACUUAAGCGUGUGGUGAAAGUCCGGGGCUCAACCCCGGAUCGGCCGUGCGAACUGAGUGGCUCGAGCACUGUAGAGGCAGGUGGAAUUCCGGGUGUAGCGGUGGAAUGCGUAGAGAUCCGGAAGAACACCGGUGGCGAAGGCGGCCUGCUGGGCAGUGGCUGACGCUGAUGCGCGAAAGCUGGGGGAGCAAACAGGA